GGAGCGUUCUGUAAGCCUGCGAAGGUGUGCUGUGAGGCAUGCUGGAGGUAUCAGAAGUGCGAAUGCUGACAUAAGUAACGAUAAAGCGGGUGAAAAGCCCGCUCGCCGGAAGACCAAGGGUUCCUGUCCAACGUUAAUCGGGGCAGGGUGAGUCGACCCCUAAGGCGAGGCCGAAAGGCGUAGUCGAUGGGAAACAGGUUAAUAUUCCUGUACUUGGUGUUACUGCGAAGGGGGGACGGAGAAGGCUAUGUUGGCCGGGCGACGGUUGUCCCGGUUUAAGCGUGUAGGCUGGUUUUCCAGGCAAAUCCGGAAAAUCAAGGCUGAGGCGUGAUGACGAGGCACUACGGUGCUGAAGCAACAAAUGCCCUGCUUCCAGGAAAAGCCUCUAAGCAUCAGGUAACAUCAAAUCGUACCCCAAACCGACACAGGUGGUCAGGUAGAGAAUACCAAGGCGCUUGAGAGAACUCGGGUGAAGGAACUAGGCAAAAUGGUGCCGUAACUUCGGGAGAAGGCACGCUGAUAUGUAGGUGAAGUCCCUUGCGGAUGGAGCUGAAAUCAGUCGAAGAUACCAGCUGGCUGCAACUGUUUAUUAAAAACACAGCACUGUGCAAACACGAAAGUGGACGUAUACGGUGUGACGCCUGCCCGGUGCCGGAAGGUUAAUUGAUGGGGUCAGCGCAAGCGAAGCUCUUGAUCGAAGCCCCGGUAAACGGCGGCCGUAACUAUAACGGUCCUAAGGUAGCGAAAUUCCUUGUCGGGUAAGUUCCGACCUGCACGAAUGGCGUAAUGAUGGCCAGGCUGUCUCCACCCGAGACUCAGUGAAAUUGAACUCGCUGUGAAGAUGCAGUGUACCCGCGGCAAGACGGAAAGACCCCGUGAACCUUUACUAUAGCUUGACACUGAACAUUGAGCCUUGAUGUGUAGGAUAGGUGGGAGGCUUUGAAGUGUGGACGCCAGUCUGCAUGGAGCCGGCCUUGAAAUACCACCCUUUAAUGUUUGAUGUUCUAACGUGGACCCGUGAUCCGGGUUGCGGACAGUGUCUGGUGGGUAGUUUGACUGGGGCGGUCUCCUCCUAAAGAGUAACGGAGGAGCACGAAGGUUGGCUAAUCCUGGUCGGACAUCAGGAGGUUAGUGCAAUGGCAUAAGCCAGCUUGACUGCGAGCGUGACGGCGCGAGCAGGUGCGAAAGCAGGUCAUAGUGAUCCGGUGGUUCUGAAUGGAAGGGCCAUCGCUCAACGGAUAAAAGGUACUCCGGGGAUAACAGGCUGAUACCGCCCAAGAGUUCAUAUCGACGGCGGUGUUUGGCACCUCGAUGUCGGCUCAUCACAUCCUGGGGCUGAAGUAGGUCCCAAGGGUAUGGCUGUUCGCCAUUUAAAGUGGUACGCGAGCUGGGUUUAGAACGUCGUGAGACAGUUCGGUCCCUAUCUGCCGUGGGCGCUGGAGAACUGAGGGGGGCUGC
RNAcentral lists this ribosomal RNA (1458 nucleotides) under Escherichia coli. RNAcentral's name for it is "partial 23S ribosomal RNA". It matches the Rfam family "Bacterial large subunit ribosomal RNA", at positions 1233 to 2675 of the family's 2925-position model. Lineage: Bacteria; Pseudomonadati; Pseudomonadota; Gammaproteobacteria; Enterobacterales; Enterobacteriaceae. RNAcentral also lists the same sequence under 1 other name. The record is from RNAcentral.